This is a long non-coding RNA of Drosophila montana, 437 nucleotides long. RefSeq lists it as uncharacterized. NCBI's taxonomy places the organism in Eukaryota, Metazoa, Arthropoda, Insecta, Diptera, Drosophilidae. The transcript has 2 exons. The record is from RefSeq and is a predicted model, not a curated record.
UGAAAUUAUAAUUUCAACACGCUUAACAGCCAGCCAUAAUUUGGCUACAACGUUACAGGAACAGGCAGGGGGAACGAGCUCUGUAGCCGGGUCAGAAGCGAGUGGCACACAUGAGGCACCUUUUCUGACCGCGUGUCAGCCGCAUGCCACUAAGCCCUGGUUAUAAAACCAGCAUAUGUGCGCUAGCAUUUGUAUUUGUGUGAGUACAAGCGACAGGAAACCCACUGCAUAACCCACAACUGUCAACAGACAACCCUCGGGGGCGGCCGAAAACGACGCAAAUUUGAUUUACUUCUUGUCGCCGUAAUGAUGCCCAAAUGUAUGCCUAGGACCUUAUUUUUGUGAAGUACCAAUCUGCCGAAAAUUAAUUUGUCAAUGUCUACUUAAAGUCAAAAUUGCCAAUUCGCUUGCUACGAGCGGCUAUAUGGGUUCUAGUA